RNAcentral lists this transfer RNA (83 nucleotides) under Ornithorhynchus anatinus (platypus). RNAcentral's name for it is "tRNA-Leu (CAG) (tRNA-Leu-CAG-7-1)". It matches the Rfam family "tRNA". Rfam says of the family: Transfer RNA (tRNA) molecules are approximately 80 nucleotides in length. Their secondary structure includes four short double-helical elements and three loops (D, anti-codon, and T loops). The record is from RNAcentral. Lineage: Eukaryota; Metazoa; Chordata; Mammalia; Monotremata; Ornithorhynchidae.
GUCAGGAUGGCCGAGCGGUCUGAGGUGCCGCGUUCAGGUCGCGGUCUCCCCUGGAGGCGUGGGUUCGAAUCCCACUUCCGACA